This 460-nucleotide ribosomal RNA is filed under the name uncultured bacterium. Its description in RNAcentral is "partial 16S ribosomal RNA". It matches the Rfam family "Bacterial small subunit ribosomal RNA", at positions 338 to 795 of the family's 1533-position model. The record is from RNAcentral.
CCUACGUGAGGCAGCAGUGAGGAAUAUUGGUCAAUGGCCGCAAGGCUGAACCAGCCAAGUCGCGUGAAGGACGAAGGUGCCAAGCAUUGUAAACCUCUUUUGUCAAGGGACAAAAUCCGCCUCGCGUGCCUGACCGAGGGUACUCGAAGAAAAAGCAUCGGCUGACUCCGUGCCAGCAGCCGCGGUAAUACGGAGGGUGCGAGCGUUAUCCGGAUUUAUUGGGUUUAAAGGGUGCGUAGGCGGACUGUUAAGUCAGCGGUAAAAACCCGGGGCUCAACCAUGUUACUGCUCUGGAAACUGUUGAGCUUGAGUGCGCGAGGAGCAUGCGGAAUGCGUAGUGUAGCGGUGAAAUGCAUAGAUAGUAGGAAGAACACCGGCGGCGAAGGCGGCCUGCUGGAGCUUAACUGACGUUGAGGCUCGAAAGCGUGGGGAGCGAACAGGAUUAGAUACCCGUGUAGUC